RNAcentral lists this ribosomal RNA (298 nucleotides) under Chryseobacterium sp. Its description in RNAcentral is "partial 16S ribosomal RNA". It matches the Rfam family "Bacterial small subunit ribosomal RNA", at positions 565 to 865 of the family's 1533-position model. The record is from RNAcentral. Lineage: Bacteria; Pseudomonadati; Bacteroidota; Flavobacteriia; Flavobacteriales; Weeksellaceae.
GGGUCCGUAGGCGGACCUGUAAGUCAGUGGUGAAAUCUCAUAGCUUAACUAUGAAACUGCCAUUGAUACUGCAGGUCUUGAGUAAAUUUGAAGUGGCUGGAAUAAGUAGUGUAGCGGUGAAAUGCAUAGAUAUUACUUAGAACACCAAUUGCGAAGGCAGGUCACUAAGAUUUAACUGACGCUGAUGGACGAAAGCGUGGGUAGCGAACAGGAUUAGAUACCCUGGUAGUCCACGCCGUAAACGAUGCUAACUCGUUUUUGGAUUUUCGGAUUCAGAGACCAAGCGAAAGUGAUAAGU